RNAcentral lists this transfer RNA (77 nucleotides) under Sus scrofa (pig). Its description in RNAcentral is "tRNA-Leu". It matches the Rfam family "tRNA". From Rfam's summary of the family: Transfer RNA (tRNA) molecules are approximately 80 nucleotides in length. Their secondary structure includes four short double-helical elements and three loops (D, anti-codon, and T loops). The record is from RNAcentral. Lineage: Eukaryota; Metazoa; Chordata; Mammalia; Artiodactyla; Suidae.
AUUAGGGUGGCAGAGACCGGUAAUUGCGUAAAACUUAAACCUUUAUUACCAGAGGUUCAACUCCUCUCCCUAAUAGC